MicroRNA precursor from Dipodomys ordii (Ord's kangaroo rat), 84 nucleotides. Ensembl annotates it as microRNA 499. Lineage: Eukaryota; Metazoa; Chordata; Mammalia; Rodentia; Heteromyidae. The record is from Ensembl.
GGGCAGGAGGCGGUUAAGACUUGCAGUGAUGUUUAACUGCUCUCCACGUGACGUGAACAUCACAGCAAGUCUGUGCUGCCUCCU